UAACACAUGCAAGUCGAGGGGCAGCAUGGUCUUAGCUUGCUAAGGCCGAUGGCGACCGGCGCACGGGUGAGUAACACGUAUCCAACCUGCCGUCUACUCUUGGACAGCCUUCUGAAAGGAAGAUUAAUACAAGAUGGCAUCAUGAGUCCGCAUGUUCACAUGAUUAAAGGUAUUCCGGUAGACGAUGGGGAUGCGUUCCAUUAGAUAGUAGGCGGGGUAACGGCCCACCUAGUCUUCGAUGGAUAGGGGUUCUGAGAGGAAGGUCCCCCACAUUGGAACUGAGACACGGUCCAAACUCCUACGGGAGGCAGCAGUGAGGAAUAUUGGUCAAUGGGCGAGAGCCUGAACCAGCCAAGUAGCGUGAAGGAUGACUGCCCUAUGGGUUGUAAACUUCUUUUAUAAAGGAAUAAAGUCGGGUAUGGAUACCCGUUUGCAUGUACUUUAUGAAUAAGGAUCGGCUAACUCCGUGCCAGCAGCCGCGGUAAUACGGAGGAUCCGAGCGUUAUCCGGAUUUAUUGGGUUUAAAGGGAGCGUAGAUGGAUGUUUAAGUCAGUUGUGAAAGUUUGCGGCUCAACCGUAAAAUUGCAGUUGAUACUGGAUAUCUUGAGUGCAGUUGAGGCAGGCGGAAUUCGUGGUGUAGCGGUGAAAUGCUUAGAUAUCACGAAGAACUCCGAUUGCGAAGGCAGCCUGCUAAGCUGCAACUGACAUUGAGGCUCG
Molecule: ribosomal RNA, 717 nt
Filed under: uncultured Bacteroidales bacterium
Lineage: Bacteria; Pseudomonadati; Bacteroidota; Bacteroidia; Bacteroidales
Description: bacterial SSU rRNA
Rfam family: Bacterial small subunit ribosomal RNA
Source: RNAcentral